CUUUGAUAUAGGUAGUUUGAGCCGGAUUGAUGAGGUUGUUGAGGAGCUUUAAGAUAAUUUUGAUACGGUUAUGCACCAAACCUAUAGAUCAGGAGUUUGAAGGAGCUUUAGCCAUCUCUUUCUUUAGAACAAGAGUGAUGCAAGCAUAGUUGAGCCUAGCAAAGUCCAAGUUGCAGUCGUACAGCUGCUGAGAGAGAAAACAUCCUCAUUGAUCGGGUC
This 219-nucleotide long non-coding RNA is filed under the name Elaeis guineensis (African oil palm). RNAcentral's name for it is "long non-coding RNA (EGUI_LNC018567)". Lineage: Eukaryota; Viridiplantae; Streptophyta; Magnoliopsida; Arecales; Arecaceae. The record is from RNAcentral.